RNAcentral lists this ribosomal RNA (767 nucleotides) under uncultured bacterium. RNAcentral's name for it is "bacterial SSU rRNA". It matches the Rfam family "Bacterial small subunit ribosomal RNA", at positions 28 to 808 of the family's 1533-position model. The record is from RNAcentral.
GACGAACGCUGGCGGCGCGCCUAACACAUGCAAGUCGAACGAGAGAUGAGGAGCUUGCUCUUCAAAUCGAGUGGCGAACGGGUGAGUAACGCGUGAGGAACCUGCCUCAAAGAGGGGGACAACAGUUGGAAACGACUGCUAAUACCGCAUAAGCCCACGGCUCGGCAUCGAGCAGGGGGAAAAGGAGCAAUCCGCUUUGAGAUGGCCUCGCGUCCGAUUAGCUAGUUGGUGAGGUAACGGCCCACCAAGGCGACGAUCGGUAGCCGGACUGAGAGGUUGAACGGCCACAUUGGGACUGAGACACGGCCCAGACUCCUACGGGAGGCAGCAGUGGGGAAUAUUGCACAAUGAGGGAAACCCUGAUGCAGCGACGCCGCGUGGAGGAAGAAGGUCUUCGGAUUGUAAACUCCUGUUGUUGAGGAAGAUAAUGACGGUACUCAACAAGGAAGUGACGGCUAACUACGUGCCAGCAGCCGCGGUAAAACGUAGGUCACAAGCGUUGUCCGGAAUUACUGGGUGUAAAGGGAGCGCAGGCGGGAGAACAAGUUGGAAGUGAAAUCCAUGGGCUCAACCCAUGAACUGCUUUCAAAACUGUUUUUCUUGAGUAGUGCAGAGGUAGGCGGAAUUCCCGGUGUAGCGGUGGAAUGCGUAGAUAUCGGGAGGAACACCAGUGGCGAAGGCGGCCUACUGGGCACCAACUGACGCUGAGGCUCGAAAGUGUGGGUAGCAAACAGGAUUAGAUACCCUGGUAGUCCACACCGUAAACG